AGUGAACGCUGGCGGUAGGCCUAACACAUGCAAGUCGAACGGCAGCACAGUAAGCGCUUGCUCUUACGGGUGGCGAGUGGCGGACGGGUGAGGAAUACAUCGGAAUCUACUUUUUCGUGGGGGAUAACGUAAGGAAACUUACGCUAAUACCGCAUACGACCUACGGGUGAAAGCAGGGGAUCUUCGGACCUUGCGCGAUUGAAUGAGCCGAUGUCGGAUUAGCUAGUUGGCGGGGUAAAGGCCCACCAAGGCGACGAUCCGUAGCUGGUCUGAGAGGAUGAUCAGCCACACUGGAACUGAGACACGGUCCAGACUCCUACGGGAGGCAGCAGUGGGGAAUAUUGGACAAUGGGCGCAAGCCUGAUCCAGCCAUACCGCGUGGGUGAAGAAGGCCUUCGGGUUGUAAAGCCCUUUUGUUGGGAAAGAAAAGCAGCAGGUUAAUACCCCGCUGUUCUGACGGUACCCAAAGAAUAAGCACCGGCUAACUUCGUG
This 492-nucleotide ribosomal RNA is filed under the name uncultured bacterium. RNAcentral describes it as "partial 16S ribosomal RNA". It matches the Rfam family "Bacterial small subunit ribosomal RNA", at positions 29 to 507 of the family's 1533-position model. The record is from RNAcentral.